UACGAAGGGGGCUAGCGUUGCCCGGAAUUACUGGGCGUAAAGCGCACGUAGGCGGGUUCUUAAGUCGGUGGUGAAAUCCUGGAGCUCAACUCCAGAACUGCCUUCGAAACUGGGAAUCUUGAGUCCGGGAGAGGUGAGUGGAACUGCGAGUGUAGAGGUGAAAUUCGUAGAUAUUCGCAAGAACACCAGUGGCGAAGGCGGCUCACUGGCCCGGUACUGACGCUGAGGUGCGAAAGCGUGGGGAGCAAACAGG
RNAcentral lists this ribosomal RNA (253 nucleotides) under uncultured bacterium. RNAcentral's name for it is "partial 16S ribosomal RNA". It matches the Rfam family "Bacterial small subunit ribosomal RNA", at positions 524 to 776 of the family's 1533-position model. The record is from RNAcentral.